AACAAUGUGCCUGAUAAAAGGGUUUUUUUGAUAGAAAAAUUAAUAGUAAACGACUUACUUAUUGUUU
This 67-nucleotide transfer RNA is filed under the name Polyascus gregaria. RNAcentral describes it as "tRNA-Ile". The record is from RNAcentral. Lineage: Eukaryota; Metazoa; Arthropoda; Thecostraca; Sacculinidae.